RNAcentral lists this ribosomal RNA (524 nucleotides) under uncultured bacterium. RNAcentral's name for it is "partial 16S ribosomal RNA". It matches the Rfam family "Bacterial small subunit ribosomal RNA", at positions 28 to 523 of the family's 1533-position model. The record is from RNAcentral.
GACGAACGCUGGCGGCGUGCCUUAUACAUGCGAGUCGAGCGCAGGAAGCUGACGGAACUCUUCGGAGGGAAGGCAGUGGAAUGAGCGGCGGACGGGUGAGUAACACGUAAGGAACCUGCCUCAAGGAUUGGGAUAACUCCGAGAAAUCGGAGCUAAUACCGGAUAGUUCAACGGACCGCAUGGUCCGCUGAUGAAAGGCGCUCCGGCGUCACCUUGAGAUGGCCUUGCGGUGCAUUAGCUAGUUGGUGGGGUAACGGCCCACCAAGGCGACGAUGCAUAGCCGACCUGAGAGGGUGAUCGGCCACACUGGGACUGAGACACGGCCCAGACUCCUACGGGAGGCAGCAGUAGGGAAUCUUCCACAAUGGACGAAAGUCUGAUGGAGCAACGCCGCGUGAGUGAUGAAGGUUUUCGGAUCGUAAAACUCUGUUGUAAGGGAAGAACACGUACGAGAGGGAAUGCUCGUACCUUGACGGUACCUUACGAGAAAGCCACGGCUAACUACGUGCCAGCCGCCGCGGUAA